UACCGCAUAAGCGCACAGGAUCGCAUGAUCCGGUGUGAAAAACUCCGGUGGUAUGAGAUGGACCCGCGUCUGAUUAGCCAGUUGGCAGGGUAACGGCCUACCAAAGCGACGAUCAGUAGCCGACCUGAGAGGGUGACCGGCCACAUUGGGACUGAGACACGGCCCAAACUCCUACGGGGGGCAGCAGUGGGGAAUAUUGCACAAUGGGGGAAACCCUGAUGCAGCGACGCCGCGUGAGCGAAGAAGUAUUUCGGUAUGUAAAGCUCUAUCAGCAGGGAAGAAGAAUGACGGUACCUGACUAAGAAGCACCGGCUAAAUACGUGCCAGCAGCCGCGGUAAUACGUAUGGUGCAAGCGUUAUCCGGAUUUACUGGGUGUAAAGGGAGCGCAGGCGGUGCGGCAAGUCUGAUGUGAAAGCCCGGGGCUCAACCCCGGUACUGCAUUGGAAACUGUCGUGCUAGAGUGUCGGAGGGGUAAGUGGAAUUCCUAGUGUAGCGGUGAAAUGCGUAGAUAUUAGGAGGAACACCAGUGGCGAAGGCGGCUUACUGGACGAUAACUGACGCUGAGGCUCGAAAGCGUGGGGAGCAAACAGGAUUAGAUACCCUGGUAGUCCACGCUGUAAGCGAUGAAUA
This 631-nucleotide ribosomal RNA is filed under the name uncultured bacterium. RNAcentral describes it as "bacterial SSU rRNA". It matches the Rfam family "Bacterial small subunit ribosomal RNA", at positions 167 to 815 of the family's 1533-position model. The record is from RNAcentral.